ACACUGGUGGUGAAACGGUAUCAUGCUUGCCUUCCAAUCGGCAUCUCGCGAGCAAGCGGCAGGGGUUCGACUCCCCUUCAGUGUA
Non-coding RNA from Mycena vitilis, 85 nucleotides. The record is from the annotation of a GenBank genome assembly. NCBI's taxonomy places the organism in Eukaryota, Fungi, Basidiomycota, Agaricomycetes, Agaricales, Mycenaceae.